Molecule: non-coding RNA, 526 nt
Organism: Scophthalmus maximus (turbot)
Lineage: Eukaryota; Metazoa; Chordata; Actinopteri; Pleuronectiformes; Scophthalmidae
Source: the annotation of a RefSeq genome assembly
CACGACAACAGACGCCACAGACGUCCUCCCGAUCAGUAACAUGACUCUGACCUGCGUCCUCAUCUGGACUCUCCUCUGCUGCUGCUUCACAGAGUCCAGAGGCCAAGUCACAGUGACUCAGCCUGGAGCAGUGAGAUCAGCUGUGGGAAACUCCGCCACCAUCUCAUGCAGAACCAGUCAGAAUGUUCAUGUUUGGAGUAACUACCACUAUUUAGCCUGGUACCAACAGAGAGAUGGAGAAACUCCUAAACUGCUCAUUUACUUGGCUUCCACUCGAGCAUCAGGGAUUCAAGGUCGUUUUACAGGCAGUGGAUCAAACUCUGACUUCACUCUGACCAUCAGUGGAGUCCAGGCUGAAGAUGCUGCAGUUUACUACUGUCAGAGUUUUCAUGUUAUCAACAGUCAAUACGUGUUCACACAGUGAAAAAGCGUCGUACAAAAACCUCCGUCAGUCAGAAUGAACACAGUGAAGUGAGACUGACACAGUUCACUGAGGACACACACACACACACACACACACACACAC